Long non-coding RNA from Suricata suricatta (meerkat), 822 nucleotides. RefSeq lists it as uncharacterized. The transcript is spliced from 4 exons. NCBI's taxonomy places the organism in Eukaryota, Metazoa, Chordata, Mammalia, Carnivora, Herpestidae. The record is from RefSeq and is a predicted model, not a curated record.
CGGGGCCGCCUUGCCCGCCGGUCGUCGGGGGCGGGGCUCACCUGGCUUGGAGCCCUCGUCCACAGAGCCGUUGUAGACCUGGUUGACGAACUCCGGACGGUUGUCGUUCAUGUCGAUGACGUAGAUGUACAGUCAGUAUCCAUCAAGGCCCCUGUGAACCAGGCUGGACGAGACUGCCGCCCAGGGGAACAGACGUGGCCCCGCCCUGGGGCUUCUCAUCCUGAAGGGAAAGGGAGGCCUGGUCGCUCGUAAGAAAGAGCCAGAGGAGACACCUGCACCGGGGACGGCAGGGGUCGCUGGAGCCCCAAGCAAGGCGGGAGAGGUGCCCCACCGGGAGCUCCCCUCCCGGAAGCACUGAAGCAGCCGGGCCGCCGUGGCUGAAGUACAGAGAGAGGAGUGACAUUCCAGCAUGUGGGGUCUCAGGCCCAGGGGGCGGGGCUCCUCUAAGCCACCGUGAUCCUUAAAGACCAGUCUGUCUAAUCGUGAGCGAGAGAAAUCUCAUUACAGUCUGACCACUGGGAGCCUCUGCCUAAUUCCCCAGCUGCCGCCCGGCGCGUCCGGGGCUCUGCGCCCGCUCGGGGACGCUCCACACAGUUUACCACGUUAGGAAGAAAUACUGUACAAAUGAAUUCACCAGAUCAGCGGAGAGCAGUUUCCCCUUGAUUUGUGUCUGGAAAAUGAGAAAAACAUCCGGGCCGCGUACGGCGGGGCCAUGAAUAAAGAACACAGACAGGCGUCUCCGUCCCCCACCUCGCUUUUACGACGCCACGGAGAAUUAUGCUCUUUUGCAUUUGUUAUUAAAGGACAGAGCAGAUGGUAAAA